RNAcentral lists this long non-coding RNA (432 nucleotides) under Physcomitrium patens. Its description in RNAcentral is "long non-coding RNA (PPAT_LNC006744)". The record is from RNAcentral. Lineage: Eukaryota; Viridiplantae; Streptophyta; Bryopsida; Funariales; Funariaceae.
AAGUCCUCGGGGAUCUCGGGACCCAAACCUACACAUGGGCGCAAUCUCGUCAGCCCUCAAGCAAUGCGGUGUCAGUAUCGUCAAGCUGGUCGGAGACCGUCAUUCUGAGGUGAUAUCGUUAGCUUCCGGAAUUAAACGACAUGAAAAUAGGACGCAUAGUUUUUCGUGUGAGUAUCCAUUAACUGUCUGAUUGCCCAGUGCGGCGUGUAGGUCAAAAAGCCAAAUUCUUACCAUGUCCCUUCAGAAUACGGAGAACCUUGCUUCCAGUCACGCUGUUAACCUGGGCAAUACCGUGUGAAUCCCUCAGGAUCACACCAAUCUGAGAAGGGGUCAGACCCUUCUUGGCGAGCUUGCAGAUAUGCUCUUCAACCUCGGCGGUGGUGAUCUUCAACCACGAUGGCGGGCUCCUCUUGUACGGCAAAGCCGAUGAGG